AGUGAACGCUGGCGGUAGGCCUAACACAUGCAAGUCGAACGGCAGCACAGUAAGAGCUUGCUCUUACGGGUGGCGAGUGGCGGACGGGUGAGGAAUACAUCGGAAUCUACUUUUUCGUGGGGGAUAACGUGGGGAAACUUACGCUAAUACCGCAUACGACCUACGGGUGAAAGCAGGGGUUCUUGGAACUUUUGCCAUUUAAUUUGCCGAUGUCGGAUUAGCUAGUUGGCGGGGUAAAGGCCCACCAAGGCGACGAUCCGUAGCUGGUCUGAGAGGAUGAUCAGCCACACUGGAACUGAGACACGGUCCAGACUCCUACGGGAGGCAGCAGUGGGGAAUAUUGGACAAUGGGCGCAAGCCUGAUCCAGCCAUACCGCGUGGGUGAAGAAGGCCUUCGGGUUGUAAAGCCCUUUUGUUGGGAAAGAAAAGCAGCAGGUUAAUACCCCGCUGUUCUGACGGUACCCAAAGAAUAAGCACCGGCUAACUUCGUG
Molecule: ribosomal RNA, 491 nt
Filed under: uncultured bacterium
Lineage: Bacteria
Description: partial 16S ribosomal RNA
Rfam family: Bacterial small subunit ribosomal RNA
Source: RNAcentral